GUGAGUCAUCGAAUCUUUGAACGCAAAUUGCGCUCCUUGGUAUUCCGAGGAGCAUGCCUGUUUGAGUGUCAUGAAAUCAUCCACCUCACCUUUGGGCUUUUGUCUGAGGGUUUGGCUGGGACUUGGGUGUUUGCGCGGAGAUGAUCCCCGCUCACCUUAAAUAUAUUGUAGUGAUCUAGCCUGUUGGCCGGUUUGACUUGGCGUUAUAAAUUAUUUCGCUGAGGACAUCUUUACGGAUGGCCGACUGACAUCUUGAUCUCGCCUCAAAGUGCAAAACACCUAGAGAGGCUACCAAUUCUUGACAUCUGGCCUCAAAUCAGGUAGGACUACCCGCUGAACUUAA
This 343-nucleotide ribosomal RNA is filed under the name uncultured fungus. Its description in RNAcentral is "eukaryotic LSU rRNA". The stretch from base 1 to 71 matches the Rfam family "5.8S ribosomal RNA", at positions 84 to 154 of the family's 154-position model. The record is from RNAcentral. Lineage: Eukaryota; Fungi.